UACGUAGGGUGCAAGCGUUAAUCGGAAUUACUGGGCGUAAAGCGUGCGCAGGCGGUUUUCCAAGACAGAUGUGAAAUCCCCGGGCUCAACCUGGGAAUGGCAUUUGUGACUGGAAGGCUAGAGUGUGUCAGAGGGGGUGGAACUGGCGAGUGUAGAGGUGAAAUUCGUAGAUAUUCGCAAGAACACCAGUGGCGAAGGCGGACUCACUGGCCCGGUACUGACGCUGAGGUGCGAAAGCGUGGGGAGCAACAGGAUAAGA
This 259-nucleotide ribosomal RNA is filed under the name uncultured bacterium. RNAcentral describes it as "partial 16S ribosomal RNA". It matches the Rfam family "Bacterial small subunit ribosomal RNA", at positions 524 to 782 of the family's 1533-position model. The record is from RNAcentral.